Long non-coding RNA from Gallus gallus (chicken), 1456 nucleotides. The record is from Ensembl. NCBI's taxonomy places the organism in Eukaryota, Metazoa, Chordata, Aves, Galliformes, Phasianidae.
GAUUGACUUCAGCAGGGCUGCAGUUAACAGCCUGAAACAUUUCUUUCCCAGUGCUGCUGGGUUGGGCUCUUCUCUUGGACUUACAAGCACCAGCAUUUCAGUAAAGGGUUUCUAUCCCCGUCUUUUAAAGUGUAUGCCUGCGCAGAUCCAGAAUGAGUUGUAUUAUCAUGCUGCCAUUUUCAGAAGGACACAAGAAAAGCCGAAUCCUCUUGUGGUUCCUACAGUUCCCUCAACACUAAAUACAGUCUGGAUCACUGUGUGUUUAGGGGGUGUCAGCAAGCCUUCUGCUCUGGAGGAAACAUGGAAAUGCUUAUGUGAUGUGCUGGUGCCAGGAUGUUGUGGAAUAUUCUCUCUCAGGACUUUAAUAAGCCAUAUUACAAUAACGAGUCAAGCAAACCAGCCUGUACUGCUGCUGGGUGUGAGAGCUGAGUCCUGCAGCUGGUGACUUGAUGUCUGGCUGCUGAAAAUCUCUCAGGUGACUCUUGUGUUCUGCAAUUAUUUUUGAGACUUGAAAGACCAUCAUAUGCAGGCAGCUUUGGGUCGCUGUUUCAAAUAAUUUUUAUACAGCAAAAUUUUUGAUUUCCAGUUUAUCCAAAAGAGCAGUUUGAAGAGAAGAAGGUAAUUGUGUUUAAGGAAGAAACCUGAAAACAAAUGCAACUGAUGGAAAGAACGAAACCCUUCUCUCUUUCAAAGGAGCGUGUUCACUUUGGCAUGUGUUAGUUGACCUUGAUACAAAGGAAGGGUGUCAAAGAAUGUACAUCCUCACAAAAGCAGAACAGAAAAAGGAGGAGUGGGGGAGGGAAGCAACCAUCUGAAGUCCAGACUCCUUCCAUCAGGAUUAAAAUCUACAGUUACUAGGGCAGGUAGGAAAUUGCAUCCAUGAGGAGGGAAGAAAUCAUGGUAAAAUGCACAACUGCUCUUGGCUGCGCCAACCUGCAGUGUGGCCCCAGCAGGGCAGUUGAAAGACUCGCUGAGGGGAGACUUCCAUGGUGUUUUGAGCAUGUGAGCAGUUACGGUGAGUCACUGCUGAGCUAAAACAGUGCCUAGCGAUGCCUCUGGGUUGAACCAUUUUGUAAGCCUCUAUAGUACAGACGUUAUUCUUCCUGUUUCUUCUCUUGGCAGCACUAACAUGUUGUGACAGUGAUGUUGCUGGCUCCUGCUAUUAAUCCAGCCUUCUCGGAGAUGUAAAAAUCACACUGUAUCUGGGGCGAGAUGGGCAGCCAGAUUAAUCCUUGUGUUGUAGUUAGCUUUUCUGAGUCAUGUCAUAAUAUGAUAGCUCUUGUGUGCAAGGGUUACAAACUGGGUGUGAUGUGACUGGGAGCUCCUUUUCCAUUGCAAUCCAGUGCUGGACCACAUCACCUUCUUAUACAAGAGGGACGUUUGUCUCAGUACACCUCUGAUUUUUCCAUGCAGUCAUGCAUUUCUGAUCCAUGCUUCAACUUCCUGCCUCAUCAAU